RNAcentral lists this ribosomal RNA (1145 nucleotides) under uncultured organism. RNAcentral's name for it is "SSU rRNA". It matches the Rfam family "Bacterial small subunit ribosomal RNA", at positions 255 to 1399 of the family's 1533-position model. The record is from RNAcentral.
GGGUAACGGCCCACCAAACCGACGAUGGAUAGGGGUUCUGAGAGGAAGGUCCCCCACAUUGGUACUGAGACACGGACCAAACUCCUACGGGAGGCAGCAGUGAGGAAUAUUGGUCAAUGUCCGAGAGGCUGAACCAGCCAAGUCGCGUGAAGGAAGAAGGAUCUAUGGUUUGUAAACUUCUUUUAUAGGGGAAUAAAAUGGAGGACGUGUCCUUUUUUGUAUGUACCCUAUGAAUAAGCAUCGGCUAACUCCGUGCCAGCAGCCGCGGUAAUACGGAGGAUGCGAGCGUUAUCCGGAUUUAUUGGGUUUAAAGGGUGCGUAGGUGGUGAUUUAAGUCAGCGGUGAAAGUUUGUGGCUCAACCAUAAAAUUGCCGUUGAAACUGGGUUACUUGAGUGUGUUUGAGGUAGGCGGAAUGCGUGGUGUAGCGGUGAAAUGCAUAGAUAUCACGCAGAACUCCGAUUGCGAAGGCAGCUUACUAAACCAUAACUGACACUGAAGCACGAAAGCGUGGGGAUCAAACAGGAUUAGAUACCCUGGUAGUCCACGCAGUAAACGAUGAAAGGGAGGAGUGUACGAUACAAUGUAAAGCUCGUACAGCGAAAGCGUUAUGUAAUCCACCUGGGGAGUACGCCGGCAUCGGUGAAACUCAAAGGAAUUGACGGGCGCCCGCACAAGAGGAGGAACAUGUGGUUUAAUUAGAUGAUACCCGAGGAACCUUACCCGGGUUCGAACGUAGUCUGACCGGAGUGGAAACACUUUAUCUAGCAAUAGCAGAGUAAGAGGUGGUGCAUGGUUGUCGUCAGCUCGCGCCGUGAGGUGUCGGCCUAAGUGCCAUAACGAGCGCAACCCUUAUCACUAGUUAUUAACAGGUGAAGCCGAGGACUCUGGUGAGACUGCCAGCGUAAGCUGUGAGGAAGGUGGGGAAGACGUCAAAUCAGCACGGCCCUUACAUCCGGGGCGACACACGUGUUACAAUGGCAUGGACAAAGGGCAGCUACCUGGCGACAGGAUGCUAAUCUCCAAACCAUGUCUCAGUUCGGAUCGGAGUCUGCAACUCGACUCCGUGAAGCUGGAUUCGCUAGUAAUCGCGCAUCAGCCAUGGCGCGGUGAAUACGUUCCCGGCCCUUGUACACACCGCCCGUCA